UAUAAAUUGCUGCACUAAGCCAUUAUACAUAUGUAAUUAUUCAAUGCCCUUUCUUCCUUCAUAAAGCCUAUCAUAAAGAAAAAGUGUUCAUAGUGUAAUACUGUAACACAAUUUAGUAUGCUUCCAAUAGCCCCUCUGAGACAAACUCACAAAUGUUGAGUAAAACAGUGCCACCCAUGCUACGUCACAUGGGGAGGAUCAGAUCUUCAUUAAGGUGGAUCCAAAUACAGAAGAUCAUCAAUGGCAGAACGUCUUAGGUCC
Molecule: non-coding RNA, 261 nt
Organism: Pelobates cultripes (western spadefoot toad)
Lineage: Eukaryota; Metazoa; Chordata; Amphibia; Anura; Pelobatidae
Source: the annotation of a GenBank genome assembly